GGAAUCUUCCGCAAUGGACGAAAGUCUGACGGAGCAACGCCGCGUGAGUGAAGAAGGUUUUCGGAUCGUAAAACUCUGUUGUCAGAGAAGAACAAGUUGGAGAGUAACUGCUCCAGCCUUGACGGUAUCUGACCAGAAAGCCACGGCUAACUCCGUGCCAGCAGCCGCGGUAAUACGUAGGUGGCAAGCGUUGUCCGGAUUUAUUGGGCGUAAAGCGAGCGCAGGCGGUUCCUUAAGUCGGAUGUGAAAGCCCACGGCUCAACCGUGGAAGGUCAUUGGAAACUGGGGAACUUGAGUGCAGAAGAGGAGAGUGGAAUUCCAUGUGUAGCGGUGAAAUGCGUAGAUAUAUGGAGGAACACCAGUGGCGAAGGCGACUCUCUGGUCUGUAACUGACGCUGAGGCUCGAAAGCGUGGGGAGCAAACA
This 424-nucleotide ribosomal RNA is filed under the name uncultured bacterium. RNAcentral describes it as "partial 16S ribosomal RNA". It matches the Rfam family "Bacterial small subunit ribosomal RNA", at positions 358 to 774 of the family's 1533-position model. The record is from RNAcentral.